Molecule: long non-coding RNA, 275 nt
Filed under: Carica papaya (papaya)
Lineage: Eukaryota; Viridiplantae; Streptophyta; Magnoliopsida; Brassicales; Caricaceae
Description: long non-coding RNA (CPAP_LNC002815)
Source: RNAcentral
GCCCGCUUCACCCUCAUAUCGGAUGAGGUAUUGAAGUUUAAUGAUUUGACACUCAUACCAGACAGGGUAUAGGGAUGGCCCUGUAAUUGAGAUUGUUAAAGGAAAUGGUUCACGUGUAGCGGGGAUAUCCAUAUAAACCCCAAUUGAUACUAGUAGGUUGGUGAAAAGAGAAACAGUUAUGGUUUGGUUUAUUGUUAAAUGAUAUCGAUUUAUAAUAUUGUUCAUGAAGUUGUGAUCUGUAUGGUAUUAUCGUUUUUAUAGGUUGUUUUCAUAAA